This 411-nucleotide ribosomal RNA is filed under the name uncultured bacterium. Its description in RNAcentral is "bacterial SSU rRNA". It matches the Rfam family "Bacterial small subunit ribosomal RNA", at positions 355 to 776 of the family's 1533-position model. The record is from RNAcentral.
UGGGGAAUAUUGGACAAUGGGCGGAAGCCUGAUCCAGCAACGCCGCGUGAGGGAUGACGGCCUUCGGGUUGUAAACCUCUUUCAGUACCGACGAAGCUUUUGGGUGACGGUAGGUACAGAAGAAGCACCGGCCAACUACGUGCCAGCAGCCGCGGUAAUACGUAGGGUGCGAGCGUUGUCCGGAAUUAUUGGGCGUAAAGGGCUCGUAGGCGGUUUGUCGCGUCGGGAGUGAAAACCUUCAGCUUAACUGGUGGCUUGCUUUCGAUACGGGCAGACUAGAGGCAUGCAGGGGAGAACGGAAUUCCUGGUGUAGCGGUGAAAUGCGCAGAUAUCAGGAGGAACACCGGUGGCGAAGGCGGUUCUCUGGGUGUGUUCUGACGCUGAGGAGCGAAAGUGUGGGGAGCGAACAGG